CGGACGGGUGAGUAAUGUCUGGGAAACUGCCCGAUGGAGGGGGAUAACUACUGGAAACGGUAGCUAAUACCGCAUAACGUCGCAAGACCAAAGAGGGGGACCUUCGGGCCACUUGCCAUCGGAUGUGCCCAGAUGGGAUUAGCUAGUAGGUGGGGUAACGGCUCACCUAGGCGACGAUCCCUAGCUGGUCUGAGAGGAUGACCAGCCACACUGGAACUGAGACACGGUCCAG
RNAcentral lists this ribosomal RNA (232 nucleotides) under uncultured bacterium. RNAcentral describes it as "partial 16S ribosomal RNA". It matches the Rfam family "Bacterial small subunit ribosomal RNA", at positions 99 to 334 of the family's 1533-position model. The record is from RNAcentral.